This 894-nucleotide ribosomal RNA is filed under the name Humicola homopilata. Its description in RNAcentral is "partial large subunit ribosomal RNA". It matches the Rfam family "Eukaryotic large subunit ribosomal RNA", at positions 38 to 965 of the family's 3401-position model. Lineage: Eukaryota; Fungi; Ascomycota; Sordariomycetes; Sordariales; Chaetomiaceae. The record is from RNAcentral.
GCAUAUCAAUAAGCGGAGGAAAAGAAACCAACAGGGAUUGCCCUAGUAACGGCGAGUGAAGCGGCAACAGCUCAAAUUUGAAAUCUGGCUUCGGCCCGAGUUGUAAUUUGCAGAGGAAGCUUUAGGCGCGGCACUUUCUGAGUCCCCUGGAACGGGGCGCCAUAGAGGGUGAGAGCCCCGUAUAGUUAGAUGCCUAGCCUGUGUAAAGCUCCUUCGACGAGUCGAGUAGUUUGGGAAUGCUGCUCAAAAUGGGAGGUAAAUUUCUUCUAAAGCUAAAUACCGGCCAGAGACCGAUAGCGCACAAGUAGAGUGAUCGAAAGAUGAAAAGCACUUUGAAAAGAGGGUUAAAUAGCACGUGAAAUUGUUGAAAGGGAAGCGCUUGUGACCAGACUUGCGCCGGGCAGAUCAUCCGGUGUUCUCACCGGUGCACUCUGCCCGGCUCAGGCCAGCAUCGGUUCUCGCGGGGGGAUAAAGGCCCUGGGAACGUAGCUCCUCCGGGAGUGUUAUAGCCCGGGGCGUAAUGCCCUCGCGGGGACCGAGGUUCGCGCAUCUGCAAGGAUGCUGGCGUAAUGGUCAUCAGCGACCCGUCUUGAAACACGGACCAAGGAGUCAAGGUUUUGCGCGAGUGUUUGGGUGUAAAACCCGCACGCGUAAUGAAAGUGAACGUAGGUGAGAGCUUCGGCGCAUCAUCGACCGAUCCUGAUGUUUUCGGAUGGAUUUGAGUAGGAGCGUUAAGCCUUGGACCCGAAAGAUGGUGAACUAUGCUUGGAUAGGGUGAAGCCAGAGGAAACUCUGGUGGAGGCUCGCAGCGGUUCUGACGUGCAAAUCGAUCGUCAAAUCUGAGCAUGGGGGCGAAAGACUAAUCGAACCAUCUAGUAGCUGGUUACCGCCGAA